Molecule: ribosomal RNA, 548 nt
Filed under: uncultured Glomeromycotina
Lineage: Eukaryota; Fungi; Glomeromycota
Description: SSU rRNA
Rfam family: Eukaryotic small subunit ribosomal RNA
Source: RNAcentral
UUGGAGGGCAAGUCUGGUGCCAGCAGCCGCGGUAAUUCCAGCUCCAAUAGCGUAUAUUAAAGUUGUUGCAGUUAAAAAGCUCGUAGUUGAAUUUCGAGAUCAAAUUGUUGGUCGUGCCUCGGUACGUACUGGCAUUAUUGAUUUCUCCCUUCUGAAGAACCGCGAUGUCAUUAAUUUGGUGUCGUGGGGAAUCAGGACUGUUACUUUGAAAAAAUUAGAGUGUUUAAAGCAGGCUCACGCUUGAAUACAUUAGCAUGGAAUAAUGAAAUAGGACGUUUGAUUCUAUUUUGUUGGUUUCUAGGAUCGACGUAAUGAUUAAUAGGGAUAGUUGGGGGCAUUAGUAUUCAAUUGUCAGAGGUGAAAUUCUUGGAUUUAUUGAAGACUAACUACUGCGAAAGCAUUUGCCAAGGAUGUUUUCAUUAAUCAAGAACGAAAGUUAGGGGAUCGAAGACGAUCAGAUACCGUCGUAGUCUUAACCAUAAACUAUGCCGACUAGGGAUCGGAUGAUGUUAAUUUUUUAAUGACUCAUUCGGCGCCUUACGGGAAAC